CUUGUCCUGUUCUGUUCCCGAGCCCUUGCUUCCUUCCCCCAGUUCUAGCCCCCUUGUUCCUGAGUCCUUUUGUUACUACGCUCUGUCUCCCCGCCGUGACAUAUUACUUACGGGACUGAGACAGCUGGCAGGGCAGAAACUGUAAGAGAAAAAAGAGGAGCUUUGGAGGCCAGAGAGAGAGAAGGGCUUUAUUGGACAGUAUAUAGUAUAGAGAGAAAGGAAGAAUAGGAGCGAGAGCGGGAAAGACAUGCGAC
Conger conger (European conger) is the source of this 254-nucleotide long non-coding RNA. RefSeq lists it as uncharacterized. Lineage: Eukaryota; Metazoa; Chordata; Actinopteri; Anguilliformes; Congridae. The record is from RefSeq and is a predicted model, not a curated record. The transcript has 3 exons.